Molecule: long non-coding RNA, 1383 nt
Filed under: Equus asinus (donkey)
Lineage: Eukaryota; Metazoa; Chordata; Mammalia; Perissodactyla; Equidae
Description: lncRNA (ENSEASG00005023839.1)
Source: RNAcentral
AAGACACUGCAUAAAAAGAUGAAAUCAGCUGGCAGCACCCUCUGACCGCCUUAAACUUCCCAGAGAGGCAAAGAAAAGGACUCUCCUGAGCUCAGAGCUUUCUCAAGAGCUCUUGAAUUUGGCCUCUCUCAUUCCUGAUUUGCAGCAGCACUUUCUCUUCAUCUGUCAUCAGGAGAUCUGGAAGAAAUAUGCGAGCAUCUCUACCCUGGAUUUUUCUUUGUGGUGUUGUGUGUAUGUUUAAGAACUCAAAAUACCUCAGAGACCAUGAUGAUGGUGAAGCUGACUACGAAGGUGAUGAUGCCUCUGCUCUCUGCAAUGAUGCCUGGCAUUGAGUGAACAUUCCAUUCACUGUGCUCACCAACUGGAUACCCGUGUCCUCUUAAUCCUCAGAUAUUCUGUUUCUCUUGGACCACUUGCUCUGGGGGAAGCCAUCAGCCACGCUGUGAGGCAACUCAGUGGAGACAUCCAAGAAGCAAGGAAGCGAAGAAGGCCUCCAGCCAAGAGCUAGCAAGGAACUGAGGUCCUCAGUCCAACACCUGUGAGGAAUAGAGGCGCAUGUGAGUAGCUGAGAAGUGGAUACUUUUCUAAUUGUCUUCAGAUGAAACUAUGGCCCAUUGUGAACACAACCUCCUGAGAGACCUUAAAUCAGAGCCACCCAAGCUUGCCGUACCCAGAUUCCUGACUCAGAAAUUGUGAGAUAAUACAUGUUUGUUAAUUUUAGCUGCUAUGUUUGGGGGUGAUGUCUUACUCAAAGAUAGAUAACUAAUACAUCCCAGCACUUAAAAUAAUGCUCUGCAAAUACUGGUUGAAUGAAUGCAUGAAUAACAAAUAUAUGGCCAAAUGCAGAGGACAAAAGAAAGAAAAUACACAAAAUCAUUGACAGUGAUUGUCUCUGGAUAGAUUUGUAGGCCCAUGGGUGAUUAUUUUUAAGUAUUUAUCAUUCCCAUACUUUGCCCCAGCUUUUUAUUGUGAAAUAUAACACAAAGACAUAACAUUGCAUAAAUAAACAGCUUGAUGGAGUUGAUUACAAAACCAGCAUGUAUGUAACCAGGUGAAAGAAUAGAGUAUUGCCUGCAGCACGGAAUCAUGAGAUUCUUUUUAAAAAUGUUUUUUUCUUCAUAUUCCCCCCAAAAGGUAUGUAUUACUUUCUCUGUCAAUUCUUUAAAAAAAUGUUUUUAUUGGGGGCUGGCCCCGUGGCCGAGUGGUUAAGUUCGCGCACUCCGCUGCAGGCGGCCCAGUGUUUCGUUAGUUCGAAUCCUGGGCGCGGACAUGGCACUGCUCGUCAGACCACGCUGAGGCAGCAUCCCACAUGCCACAACUAGAAGAACCCACAACAAAGAAUACACAACUAUGUACGGGGGGGCUGUGGGGAGAAAAAGGGAA